Long non-coding RNA from Sus scrofa (pig), 16918 nucleotides. RefSeq lists it as uncharacterized. NCBI's taxonomy places the organism in Eukaryota, Metazoa, Chordata, Mammalia, Artiodactyla, Suidae. The record is from RefSeq and is a predicted model, not a curated record.
ACCAGAUUUGAAGCCAUGUCUGCGACCAUACCACAGGUUAUGGCAACACUGGAUUCUUAACCCAUCGAGCAAUGCCGGGGCUCGAACCUGCAUCCUUGUGAUUCAGAUCCAUUUCCACUGAGCUAUUAUGGGAACUCCGUAUUCCUCCUACUUGGAAGUGAAGCUUUUUUUUUGUCGUGCCUGUGGUGUGCAGAAGUUCCAGGGCCAGCCAUGACCUGAGCUGCAACAGUGACAACAACAGAUCCCUAACCUUCUGAACCACCAGGGAACUCCAGAAGUGAAGCUCUUGAUGUACAAGUGUAAAGGAUGAGGUCAAUUUUUCAGCUUGCUGGAGAAGGGAUCUAGGUUAGUGAGGCCAGGCGACAGGGGUGGUGGCUGAGCUGCAGCAGCCUUGGCGCCCACGCCUCGUUCCAUCCGUCUCUCCUGCCUCCUUGGGGGUGUCUCAACCUUUCUUAGUCUGUCUCGUGUAAGGUCCCUGUUGGCCACUUUCACUUCUGUAUUUUAAUGGUGUGGACUAAUUUCCACUUUAUUUUUGUAUUUAUUUUAACACAAUCACUUAUAAUGAGGCUAAUGACAUUUUGUCUCCAUGGUGGCGCAUUUUAAUUUGGUCUUGGAAAUGUCAAAGCGAUCAGGCAAUUUGGUAUCUCGGAGACACAAAACGUGGUGGGGACAAUGGGCCCCUCUCCAUCAUUCCAUCUCCUUGUUAUCUGCUAGCUCCUGGGGCCACCCUGUCCCACUUGGCCAAGUCUCAGCGCUGGCGUGGACAGAGACAGCAGUAAAACAUCGCCAAGACAAAAGGCGAGGCUUGCACACACGGUCCCCUUCCAGCAUGCACAGUGAGCAUGAUUAAUCAGAUUUCUCCCCCGAAGCUGCAAUGAGGAAAGCAGGCAUCAUUUUCCUGGUGGCAUUUUUGUGCCAACCCAUGUCCUUCCCUCCAUCCCAAGGUUUUCCUCUGAGCUGCCCGUAGUCUCCUUUCUCUCUGCGUUCCCGUUCUUUCCUUUAAGGGCUGGCAGCUGUUUCCCAUGAAGCAAGUAUUUUAGGCUUUGUGGGCCCAUGAGGUCUUGAUUUCAUAUUCUUCCUCUUUUUACAGCCCUUUAAAAAUGUAAGAAAUGUUCUUAGCUUGCAGACCACAUGGACUAUCCAGCAAUGUUGGGUUGGGUUUAGAGAAAGCAUUUAGGGGAAUUUAGUUGGAGGCUUGAGCCUUGUUUCCUUUGGUGAGGAAGUCAUUGAAGUCUCUGUUCCGUGUGACAGAGCCCCAAAUAGCCGGCAGGCUGAGGUUGGGGCUGGUGGCUUCUCUGAUGGUUAAAUGUCAGAGGUGUCCAUGGAGGCUGCUGGCUAUGGCUUGUUCUGAAGGUGGGACUCUGGCUUGGUGGGUGUCUCCCAGGCAGCCUGCACUGUCCCAUGUUUGUCUGAAAACUGCUACUGUCUGGUCUCAAUUUGGAGCCCUAAUUCCGCCCAUCCUGUCCUGCUCCGGAAUCUCUCUGCAUCUAGUGCCCUCACUCCCAGCCUCCUUGGUACCCUGUUCCAUCUGUGGUAGGAAGGAGACGGCCGUUUGUGCAGAUGGCAUGGUGCUGUCGCUUCCAAGUGAGAGCAACCACAUUUGUCUUCUCUUCUGCCCCAAGGCUUGUGCCAUGGAUGCUCAUCUCUGAGAUGGAACCUGAGCGUGAAGGGAGGGUCUCACCGUGGCAAAAACUUCGGGGCACUUCAGGGAAACUCCAGCCUAACACAGAUGGAGCAUGGGCCCAGGGGUCGACUCUCGCAGACUUCUACUUAGAAGCCACUUUGUCAAAUUCUUUGCCAGCUUUCCCAUGCAGUGAGGAUACUUUAUCUCUAUAAAGUAGCAAUAAGUGGACAGUAUAAUAUAUUUCACUUGUAAUAAGGUGUUGCCAGUUGCACACACUCUGUAGAGCAAUUAGUGUCAAAAGCGCUAAGCAAUGGCGGGAACUGCAUCUGAGUGUUUACAGAUGGGAAGGAUUUAUAGCUGGGCUUGUGGGAGCUGUGGCCACAGUGUGGGGGCUGGGGAGAUGCUGAUCAGUUGAGUUUAAAUCCACAGCCCUCUCAUGUCUCUGAAACUUCUCAAGGCAGGGCGUGGUGGUGCUGUGAUGUUCGUUCCUGGGGCUGGGGGAGAGUGAUGGUCCACAUGGGGCUCCUGGCCCAGGAAAGAAGGCUUCAAGCGGGGGCGGGAUCUGGAGGAGGGUCCCCUGCAGGCACUGGCGUGGAGAACGGUGAUGAUGGUGAGAAGCAGGGCAGCUGGGCCUCCAGGACAGACCCACAAUGUGCAGCAGCAGGAGUGAACGCUAAUGGAAACUGAGGACUUUGGGUGAUUAUGAAGUGUCCAUGCAGCUUCAGCUGUGACCUGUACUGCUGGGGGGUAUUGAUAAUGGGGGAGACUGUGACUGUGUACGGAUAGAGGUUUUGGGGUAAAUUUUUGUGCCUUCCUUUCGAUUUUGCUGUGAACAUAAAACUUUUCUUAAAAAGAAGUCUUAAAAGUAAUCCCUGAUUAGUAGCAUUUGCUGAUUCUAGGGUAUAAACUCUUCAUCCGUGGCUGAUUUCCAGCUACCCAUGUAUGUGAUAUAAAGAGCCUGAAUCCUCACUGAUGACAUGCUGCUCUGCCGGCUGCUGAUUUCCCAUGCACGUGCCUUUGUUUCUAGACUCACUUGGACACCAUUGAUCUGUUUGUCUGUCUUAUGACUGAACGGUAGUACUUUCAAUUAUCGUGGCUUGGUUAGCUUAAUAAAUGUUCCUCCAAACUAAUUUCUUAUUGAUUAGUCAAGCACCAGCCUCCCUGGGACUUCGCCUGAGGUUACUUUAAGUUUAUAGACACACGGACUCCGAGCAUCUCUGCAACAUUGCAGCUCCCCGGUAAGACCACAUAUCCAUUUGAUAAAUACGUAUUUAGAAUCUUAUGUACCAGAAACUCUUCUUGGCUCUGUGGUGGGCAAGCUUGCUAAAGUUCCUGCUCUUACAAAAACUUACCUCUUGGAGGAGGGAGGGAAGGUUGGUGAUGAGCAGGUGGACAAAAGAAGCAUGCAAAGCCCCUUUCAAAUGGCAUACAUAUUAUGAAGGAUCAUCCAAGGGACCACACCUGAAGGGGAGUCUACUUUGGGCUGUGUACGCAGGGAUCCUCUCUGAGGGAGUGACAUUUUCGUGGAGGCCUGAUCACCAGGAGACAGCUGGAGAAAAAUCUGGGAAGAACACUCCAGAGAGAAGAGCCAGUCAAAGGCCCUUGGUGGUCAGAAACCACUUCAUCAGCUUUAGGAGAUGAAAAAAGACCAGGUGGGAGGUGGGGUUGAGGAGAGGGAACCUGGGGCAACAGGAGGUCUUUCCCAAGUGGUCAGAGAUGUAGGUGAAGAUUCACUCAUUCACUUAUGUAGGAUCUUCAGGGCUUUGGUAAAAGGUUUGGCUAUUAUUCUGAAUACAAUAGAUGUCCUUUGGAGUGAUGUGCAUAAAGGGGAAUGAUUUGAUUUACAAUUUACCAGCACAUUCUAUUUUCCGUAACAAGAAUAGAUUAAAUGUGUGUUGGGAGAGGGAAAAUGGACAAUUUAGGAAACUGUUGCUGUAGUUGGGAUGAAAGGCAAGGGGGCUCUGGAUCUUGGCAGUAACCCUGGAGCUGAGAGCUGCUACUGGGUUUUGUGUAUAUUUUGGAAGUGGGGCUGGAGGGCCUGCCAUUGCACUGGUUGUGUGGAGUGAAGUUGCUGAGAAUGUGUAGGCUGCAGAGACUGCAGGUUUGAGAUGCUCAUUGAAUGGUAACAUUGGAAAGAGGCAGAGCCCAUGGGCCUACCUGGAGGCCUUGUGGACUCUGCAUUUACUCUGAAAAAUCAUCCAAAUAGAGCUGUUGGGGGGAGGUUGGAGGUAUGGGCCCUGAGCUCUGGGGAGCAUUCUGCCAGCAGUCGAUGUGAGAAUUCUCAGUGUGAAGACACAUCAAGAGAGGAAGAAAAGCCCUGAUGGUGCAGUUAUGAGCAAGACAAAGAAGUUUUUGGGGAAGAGGUAAUUAUUGUCUCAAAUGUUGAUGGUCAAGCUUGAUGAAGGCCAGUGAGCAGAUGGUUCGGACCUUAGGAACUGGUCGUUGAUAACUGUUAUCUGGAGUAAUUAAAAUGGAGUGGUGAGUUCAGAUGCCUGACUGUAGUUGAAGGAAGAAUGGGGCAUGAAGAAAUUGAAAUAUAGUCAAUGUUCACCAUUUGCAGUGGUUUAAUUCUGCAAAAUCACUACGAAAGCUACAUUAGUGACCAUGGAACCAUUGCUCCCAGGGCUAAGAGAGGGAAUAUUCCUGUGAGCCUCUGAUUACAACCUUCCAUCAACUGAUCAAUAUGUAGAAUUCCAUGCAUUUCUGUUUAAAGGCCCUUGGUUUAAUACAUACUAUUGAUUCAUUACUACUGAACUUAUGACCAGAACCUUACAGUUUAUACCUGAACAAAGCUUACCUAAUGUAUUCUCUCCAAUAUCAUACAUCUCAGCUUUCUUGUUCUUAGAGAUAGUAGAAGGAGCUUCAUUCAGUACUAUGCUUGGGGGCUAUUUUAAACAGUGAAACGACCAACAAAAAGCAUGGAAAUGGGGAAAAUGUGGUGCUAAAUAGACAGAAAAAGACUCUUGCUUAGAGUGUGAUCACUGAGAAACAAUGGCGUGUGUGUGUCAGGGCAAAUCAAGUCUUGUGCUGUUCAGCACGUUCACCCAUAACUGCAAACAUACCCCAAGUGUUGAUUUGGGGGUUGCAGAUAGAUUUGGGGGAGAAGGCAUAUUUGCAUUCAUGGGAUCUGUGAAUAAUGAGAGUUGACUCUGUUAACCAUAGGCAAUCCCUUGGAGAUAUUUUUCCGUGAGGUUUGGUGUGGUAAUGGAAUUCUUAUUUUGCUUUUAAAAACAUGGGUGAUGCUAUAGUGUGUUGUGUAGGAUGAGAAGACUGACCCAGUACAGAGAGUAACUUGAUGACAUCCACUGACCAGGAAGAUCUUCAGUACAGUGAGAAGAGGGAGGAAUCCAAAUCCUUGUGGGAGGAGGCUUUGAUCAGAGCAAAUCUAUCUCUCAGGGCUGUUCUUAAUGUCUUCUUGUAACUCUUUAUAGUUUUAUUCAUGUGGUUUGUAUUUCUUAUUAAAUUAAUUCCCAGACAUGCUACAGUUUUUGAUGUUUUGAUUGGGUUUUCCUUAUAAAUGGACUUUACAACUACUUAUGGCUGGUAUAAAGGAAAUCGACUGUUUUUUAGUAUAUUUUAUAUCUAGUCACGUUUUCAACGCUUAGCAAGUUUUAAUAUUUUUACUUGCAUUUCUAGGAAAAUAAUUACAUUGUUUUAGAUAAUAAUACAUUUAUCUCCCCCCCCCCAUGUUUAUUUAAAAUCUCUGGAUGGAUACUGCAUUUUCGUAAUUUUAUAGAAUUGCCUUUUAUAUUUCAAAAUUUAAUAUGAGCUUUGCUGCUAGUUCUGCUUUUAUAACUUUAAGCUUUAGGAUGUUUCCUUUUUUCCUAUUUUGUCUAAAAUUUUCAUUCUUUUCAGUAUGAAUGAUUGUUAAUUUUAACAGAAGCUCAUUUGGCAUCUAACAGUGUGAUUACAUGAUUCUUUCCCCCUCUAUAUUUUAAUGUAAUGACUUAUUGUUCUUCUGUAGUUGAAAUCUGGAAUGCCUGGCAUGAACUCUCCUUGGAUUUGGUGCAAUUUCAAAUAUGCUACUGGAUUUUAUUUUACUAUUUUACAUCACAUUAUUUAGUGAAAUUUAUCUGAAAUUAUUUUGUUUUCUCUAGCUGGCUUUUGCAGCAAGGAGUUUUUUUGCCUUCAAAUGACUUGGAAAAGUUCCGAACUGCUUUUCCUGUAGUUUUCUCCACUUCUCCCAUGUCCUCAACCCUCUUGCUCUCUCUUCCUAGUUCCAUUCUUUGGCAGCACAUCCACCACCUGACCACAGACUUGGCCAUCACUUCCAGUGUAUUUGCUGGUCUUCCUCUUCAUUCUUGUUCUCUGAGUCACCAACUGUUGGUUGGUUGCUUGCUUGCUUGCUUUUCCUUUUAAUUUAGAAUCUCAAGGUAGAAGCUCUGAUGUCAUUGAUGGGAUAUUACCAUCAUCAAACUAUGUAUUAAGUCCUUUCUUGUCUUAUUUAUGUAAUUCUUUCUUUCUUUUUUUUUUUUUUUUUUUUUUUUUGUCUUUUUGCCUUUUCUAGGGCCGCUUCCUGUGGCAUAUGGAGGUUCCCAGGCUAGGGGUCUAAUCGGAGCUCUAGCCACAGACCUACGCCAGAGCCACAGCAACACGGGAUCCGAGCCACGUCUGCGACCUACACCACAGCUCAUGGCAACGCCGGAUCCUUAACCCACUGAGCAAGGCCAGGGACUGAACCCGCAACCUCAUGGUUCCCAGUCAGAUUCGUUAACCACUGUGCCACGACGGGAACUCCUUACGUAAUUUUUUCUUGUUAUCUCUAUUUUUCACUGCUGUUCUCCCAUAAAAACCAUUCCAGUGGAUUUAAUGUGUAUCCUUUUAGGGUCCUAUGUAUAGAGAGUUUACUUAACAUGAAAUUCUUACUAUUUUAUACUGUUUUUUCUUUCCUGCACUGUUUAUUUCCCUGUGUUGAUCUAACUCUUAGUCUCAGUGGGGCACAUCCAUCACAUUGUGUUGGUCCACUCUUGCCGUUUGUGAAUACCCGAUUACCUGCAAGGUGAGUGCUGAGAUGAGCAUCUUUAAAAAUGUUUCUUAUAGACCUCUUUGGUUUCUGUCCUCAGGAGUAAAAUGGUGGAUGCAGGGGGUACAUCACUUAAUCUGAGCGUCCCCCACAAUGGCAGGGCAGUGCCCACACACUUAAGUGCUGUGGGACAUCCUUCUCAACAGCCUUCAUUACCCGGCUUAGCCAACUUUCUAAUUUUUGGUAGUCGAACAGGUGUAAAUGUAUCAUUUUUAUUUUACUUUGAGGAUUUUCUGAUCACCAAUUUAAGUAUUUCUUCACAUACUUGUAAACUCUUUGCAUUUCUCCUUUAAAUCCCUCAUUUAAAUUCUUUGCCCACGUUUUUGUGAGGGUUACUGUCUUUCCCUUGUAUGCAUUCCUUGCACAUUCUAAAUACUAGUCUUUUGUCAGUUUCAGGCACUUCAAAUAUUUUUUCCCCCUUUCCUCUAUCAUGAUGGUUAGAAGUUUACUUCUAAUUUUGAUGUGAUCAAAUUUCUUGAACGUGGAGUUCCCAUCAUGGCUCAGCAGUUAUGAGCUCUACCAGCAUGCAUGAAGAUGUGGUCGAUCCCUGGCCUCGCUCUGUUGGUUAAGGAUCCGGCGUUGCAGAGAGCUGCGGUGUCAGUCCCUGAUGAGGCUCGGAUCCCAUGUUGCUGUGACUUUGCAUAAGUUGGCAGCUGCAACUCUGAUUCGACCCCUAGCCCAGGAACUUCUGUAGGCAUGGCCCUAAAAACCAAAAAAAAAAAAAAAAAAAAAAAAAUCUUAAACUUUUGUGGACCAUUUUAGACUUUUUUAAAGAGCAAUUUUUUCCACCUCUAGGUCACAAAGAGAUUCUACCAUAUUUUCUUCUAUUAUAUUUUUGAUUUUACCUUCUCAUUUCAGCUCUAAACUAUCUUGUGUCUUUGAAUGUGGAGUUAAGUAGAUGAUAAUUUAUUUUUUCCAAAUAAUCUGGUUUUCAUUAACAUUGUUCUUCUCCCUAAUUUAUUUAUCUUGUCAUCUUUAUUACAUCUUAAAGCUCUAGCAGCUAUUUUCAGUGGCAAUGAAACAAGUUUUGCCUACGGGCAGCAUGAGACAGAAGUAAUAGGAGAAGGCAUAUGACUUCCUUGCCUACCUUCCUUUCCCUUUCCAUCUCCCUGCCAUCCUCCGUCCUAAGGGCUACUGUCUCCCCCCAUCCCCAGAGCCACUCAAGAUCAAGGCAGAUCCCAGACUCUCCAGGGGUUUCUUGUGAUGCCGAUAUUUCUGUGUAACUUGGUAAGUCCCCCGUGCUGUCCUGAGUACUGUUCCCCGUGGUUUAUUUUAGGAGGGGGAGUUGGAGCCCAAACGAGCUGGCUGCUCUGGCAAGGGAACACCUUGCUAGAUGCCACUGGCCACCUCAAACUUGGGACUGCAGCGACUCGGUAACAUCCCUUCUCUGGAUACCGGUGCUGGCAUCAUCAUUAUCCCAAAUACCUGUGACUCCUCUCCUCCCUCACUGUCCCUCUGGAUCCCAUCAGUCUGCAAGUCUGGUGAGCCAGCCUGGUGGUGUCCCUUGGGUGUAAGAACCAUACUUUCCCUGCUGUCCCUGCCUCCUGCCUGGCUGGGCGCCUUAUCCGCAGUCCCUGCUUUGCUGCUCAGGCUGCCUCUGAGCUCGAAAGUCUCGUUCAGAGACCACUGCACACGCUGCCCUCCAGGAUUCCUUUUGGACAGACUCCUUCGCAUGACGCUUCGAGCCCUUUGCUCUGACCUCAGCCUCCUCCCUCAUUUCUGUCUGGGAAUCCUGCUUCGAUCCCUUGUACUUGCCUGCCCCUGAGUCGAAAGCCCUCCACGUCCUGUCCUGCCCUCUGUGCUCUUCCCUCCCCUUGGGACACCCAAUGCCUCGCAUUUGCUUUAUUUGUUGUAAGGUGGUGACCUCAUCCUCUACCUGACUGUUUACCGCUCCCCCCUGCCCUGUUUCCUCAUCUCAGCCUCUUGAGCUUUCAGCUUUCUCUCAAGACUUAGUUCAGACACACUGCUAAUAUGACACUUGUAGUCUGAGCUGCUGGUUCACACUUGGGUGGAGAUUUUACGUAAACUAUGGAUUUCGGUAGGGACUGAAGGGGCCUGAUGAUCCGAGGGCUUUCCUGCUAGAAAACAACACCCCUUAAUGGCCUGAACACUUUCCUUCUCACUAGCUGAAGUAGCAGCCUCUGCUCCAUGUGUGUCUGUAAUUCUGGGAGGGCAGGCAGUGUCUGCUCCUGUAGAACGGACUGGAUUCUGAUGCUGGAUCAGCUGUGCUGUGUGGCCAUUGGCUAGUACCUUCCCUCUCUGGGCUUUGCGUUCUCUAAUACAAAAUGAGCUGAUUAGACUCCUCCUCUUUAGGGACUCGUCAAUGUAAUAUUUGAUUAGUGUGAGCCUUUUUGGGACAGGAAAUCUUGUGUAUUUUUGCAUAUAGAGGCCGCCCAGUGAAUGUCUCGAAUUAGCUUCAUGAUGAAAUCCGGGCCCCGAAUUUGUACUGUGCUUUCAUAUCCACAUACACACACACAAUCUCUAGAAAGUUGUUUCGCAUCAGUGCGCUAUGCUACCUUGGUAAUAACCUCAGGCCUCAUUACCUAUGUCUGCGUAGACCUGGCUCCAGCCUCUUGUGCACCAGCCCCCAACCCCCACGUUGGGGUGGGGAUAAGCCCUUGCAUUGUUGCUAAUCCCAGAAAGGCAGGAUGGUGAGACUUUUUGUUCAUAGCCUCAGACUAUGCAGUUCAUUUAGAUAAAACUUAUUCAAUCAUCUCUUCCUAUUGUACCAGCUUUAGGUAGAGCCCGGGGGUAGAUGCCAUCAAGCUUAAAAGAGAUAAAUACAUGAUCCUCUGUAAGUAGCUUGCAAGCAACUUAGGAGAGUCAGAUGUGGAUGACAGAAUGACAGUGGCUGGGUGCAUAUUAACCAGGGUGGUGAGUUAGUAUGGGAGUGAUUUCAGAGGAAAGAGAUGGCUUCAUGGGUAAUGUGGGGUCUAGACUAUAGGAGAAUGGUUAGGAUUUCAUCCUCAGAAAACGACCGAGAGGCACCACCUGAGGGCAUAUGGGCACCUCAGUGAGGAAGGGACACAUGGGGGACUCACAGUCAGGAGUCAGGGUCCGCAGAGGCGACUUGGCCACAACAUCUGGGGUGUUGUGGGGUAAGGAUGGCGCCAGUUCUCAGUAAGCCCGAACUCAGGACAAGCAGAAGGUCAUGUUUCAAGGUGAGGAUUCUAGAAGCUGCCUCCAGGUUCAAGGCCUGGGUCCAUCCCUCCUGGGUCUGUGAAUGAAGGCAGGUUAUGUAAUCACAGGGACCUCAGUCUAGGUAAAAUGAACAAUUCUAAUAGGGCCAACCUCAGAGGAUGCCAGGCCUAAGAGAAGUGACCCAGCUUAAGAUUAACGAGGUCUUAAGUGACUGAGACAGAGAUCAGGUGACCACACGGAGGGACAGGAAGCCACAUGUACUUGGACCCUUGUCUUUAAAAGGCAAAGAUUCUGGGAGUUUGGGAGACUGGAGCGCCAUGUAUCAGGUCAGGGCUCCUGGAGCAGGAUCACUUGGGUCAGGAGGAGGCCCCGCUUGGGACUUUGCGCUUUUUUGUGAUGGGGAAGUGACACAUGUCCUGGCCAGCUCCCUGGUUUGUGCCUGGAAGGCAAGGUUCAGAGUUCAGGACUCUGGGGCUGGGGGCUGGGAUGGCUCCCAGCAGGGAUGUGGGCUGAGGGUGGUGAAGUGCAGAGGAAGUCAGAACCCAGUAAGGACUGCUGUGUGCUGUCCUGGUCCCACCGAGUAUCUCACUGGGAAUGUGAGGAUCAUUUUGGGUCCAGAUGGCCAAGUGCCACGCUCAGCAGCUUGGGCAGGGCUGGCCCUGCAGCACCUUAGUUGAGUUGCUGUAGGGUGUGCCUGGAGUAUUACCUCCCGACCUCUGACCUCCCUGCAGGUGUAGGGACACCCCCUCCCCCUCCCCCAGAGUCUGUGCAGCAGGGGCUGCAACUCUGCUAAUAAGACAACACAGACAGUGGGGCUUUACAGGUCGUUACCUGGCUUAGCUCCUGUAACUGGCUUGGGUCAGGACUGUGGCUGAGUUGGGGGAGUCUGGGGCUGAGAUGGGGGAGCCCAUGCAGGAAUGUGCUUGUGUUUGGUGUUGUGAGAGAACCAUCACCUGUGCCCAAAGAGAACUACAUUUGUUGUGGUGGCCCUGAGAGGUCACUGUGCCUGAGAAUCAUCUGAGGGUCUUAAGGGCAAUGGACCCCCUGGGCCACUGUCCCAGUUUCUGACUCGUGAGAUCUGGGGUGACAGACAGGCAUGAGCACCUGUUAUGUCCACACCACAUGGCUCAGAUGCAGGUGUUCAGGGCUUCUGCUCACCCUGAGGAAGACUGGUUUACAUCGGCUUGCUAUGGGCCAGGCAUGGCCUUAAGCUCUAAAUAAGUUAUUGUAUUUAAUCCUUAUGUGUCCUUUAAAUGGAGCACUGUUAUUAUCUUUAUUUUACAGGUUGGAAAAAAGGCAACAAAACAGCCCUGAGGCUUAAGUAGAUUAAGUGAUUUGCCCAAGAUAACAAUGGUACAGAGUGACAGCCUGGGAUCAGUUUGGCGGGUGGGACUUUUUUUCACUUAACUCUACCCCUCAGGGCAGCAGCCCCGGGGGAGUUUAUUAGAUAGUAGAGAAUGGCAACAAAAUGAAAAAAUGGAUACAGCUGCAGCUCUUGAGGAAUCCAAAGUCUAAUAUUGGAGACCAGGAAGAAGCACAUGUUAAAUGAGGAAACACGUAAUUGAAAUGUCAAAAUAGUGUAUCAAAUGGAAACAUGGGGCAGAAAUGAUUAUUUUUUUAGUUUGUCUACAGCUUAGGUUAGUCUCCAUGGCCUUUGAAGGUGUAGACCCUGUACUCCAAUUAUAGGUCUGGCAUUCGUCUGGCAUCCCUUCUGGAAGAAAGGUGGCUGGAAAGAAAGCAGCUCACAUAUGCCUGCACUAAUCUCCAUAAGCAUCGAUGACAGGCCUGGAGCUGGGGUGCCGCCUGCUGUGGGUCCUUCCCACGUGGGUCAGACCCACCGCAGGGCUGCUCACUGAGGACAUGGCAAGCUUUUCUCCCUGAUGCAGCCUGGAAGACCCCUGGCAGAUCGCUCUGGUCUCAUGCGGUCUAAUCCACCUCUUCCUUGGCGACACUGACCCCAACUGCUGUCUGAAGGAGGAAGGGGUGGGACUCUAGGGGGAAAGCCGAGGAGAAGCGGUCAAACCAGAGGGUGAAUUUGGGGCGAGGCAGAGCAGAGGCCUCGUCCUUCACCCUCUCAUUCUCAAAACUCAGGAUGUUCUCUGGGUGGGUUGUGAAUUCUGCCCUUUCACCCAGACCCACCCUCCCCUGAGCAGAUUUGCCCCUUUUCCAAUAAAGGCAAACCCAAAUUAAAUCUAUAAUUAUCACUACUAAUUCCACUUAAUUAGUCACAAGCCAGCAGCCAAAUUGGCUUUCUCAUAAUUAUCUGAUAAGCAGUAAGCACAUCUCAUAGAUUAUAAUUAACACUACUUAAUUAAAAUCUAAUAUACAUACACCCUUUCCUCAAAAUACAUCUAAUUGGGUUCCUAACAGCAGCAGAUAAAAAUUAUUCUCUAGUUGCCCCUCCAUAAGGAUUUCAAAUAUCCUCUUUUCUGAAGUCCCCUGAGAAUGGAGGGGGAGUUACAGAUACACUUGCUGAUUUACUUUUACAGCAAGUGAUGUAUUUUCUUCCCAGGGGACUGGGAAAGCCAUUGGUCUUUCCUUUCUCUUGAAGCAUCACCCAAACUAAGAAAUGCUUGGUGUGCAGUGACCACACAGCUGAUUUGUGCUGCACGCCAGAGGAAGUUCAGCUUCCCACUUAAAUUUCUUUACAUUUGUCCUCAGUGUCCAAAGUUCCCGCCUACCUCUAAACUUGAAAAAAAAAAAAAAAUCCUAUCAAACUUCCAAGCAUCAUUUUUGAAAAUGAAUGGAUUCAAAGCUGUUUUGAAGUUCUGAGUGGCUGUGAUAGGUGUUUUUCAGCCACUUCCACCUCCGCUGGGCUGAGGAUCACAGGUGUGUGUGUCUGAUCCCGAGGGGCACCAGCUGGGAUGAGAAGGCAGCACUUCAGCAUCUUGGAAGUGAAAAGGCUCCGUUCUCGGUGAGAUGGCCAGCCACCACUGCUCAGAGAGUUCAGAGAGCAGGUUAAGGAGGCCCAUCGAUGGCCGCUGAUUCCUGUCCUUUCCUGCUAAACCAACCUGGAGGAUGUGGAAAGCUGGGGCCAGAGGAUGCAGAAAGCUGGGGCUGCGGGCUGCAGGCAGGGGAGGGGUGAGGAAGGUGGGGAGGGUGCCUGCAACAGAAGUGGCAGGGCUCCUGUCAUGCAGAAACUGGGGCACAGGCAAGGCUGCACGUGUGACUGGUCAUUUGCAGACAGGGAGAUGGAUGCCUGAUAACCUGUGUGUUUCCUGAGAACCUGCUCUGUAGGGUCCAGAGCUUCUGUCCAUGGUCUCCUAUUCGCCUCCCUUUCCUUGUGCCUAGUCUAGUGCCAGGAAAUGGAAGGGCGUGAAUAACUGGUUUCUGUACAGAUACCUAGGUGUGGGUGGUUUAAUACUCACCUUUCAGAAUAUCAAACGGGGGUAGGAGAGUGAACUGAGAAAUGGCGGCAGGAGGACUGGAACCCAUGGUUUUGGGAACUUGUCACCGCUUGCUCUUUCCCAGGACACGUGUGCCCUGUUCAUCACCUGCCCUCCCUGCUAGCUUCUGCUCCAGGAGGGCAAGGCCUGGGAUUAGUCUUUUCACAGUUCUGUUCCCCACCCAUCCUCACACCCCCAUAGAGUCCCGCAGGUAAUGGGUGUCCAGCCUACUCCUGUUAAUGGACAGAUGGAUGACUGUCCUGUGAUCUCUUUCCUACUGAAAAAAAGGCAAAUUCACUGCUAGUUACUACUGCACAGGGAAAAUAGGUAAUCCUGAACUGUGAGAUUGGUUUCAUUUUCAUUGCUCCUAAAUUUCUCCCAUGAAGUCCAUCAGGAUCAGGAAAAGCUACCCAUUACCCAAAAAUAGGGGUGGGGGGUGAGGGGAGUCUACCUCUAAUGUGUCUUGGCAUUUCUAUCUAUUUACUUUUUUCUUUCUAUCCAGUCAAACUAUUUGAAUAGUGGGUCUGUCUGGAGCAAUAUAAACUGGGUUUGGGGGAGUUACCUUUGUGGCUCAGCGGUUAACAAACCCAACUAGGAUCCAUGAGGAUGCCGGUUCGAGCCCUGGCCUCACUUGGUGGGUUGGGGAUCUGGCAUUGCUGUGAGCUGUGGUGUAGGCUGCUGACUUGGCUUGGAUCCUGUGUUGCUGUGCUGUGGCAUAGGCCUGUGGCUACAGCUCUGAUUUGACCCCUAGCCUGGGACCUCCAUAUACUGAGGAUGUGGCCCUAAAAAGGAAAAAAAAAAAAAAAAAAAAAAAAAAAAAAAAAAAAAAAAAAAAAACUGGCUUUGGGGAAGGACUUAGAAGGACUUUGGGGAAGUGCCAUCCACUUACUCAUAGCCCAGCUGGGGAGAAGCUAUAAAUGCUUUGAAGGAUGAUUCUGUGUGUUGAAAGUUAACUUAAUGGGGUUUUGGCUCAGAUGCCACUUUCUUUUGUAUCUUGCUUGAGUCCCUGUGGACUUCUCCAGGCCGGUCGGAUGGUGACAGCUAUGUAGGUACAGAGAGAUGGCUGUCUGGGCUGUCGUCCUGGGGGUGGCCCUGGUCUAGAAGUCUUUGAAGUCUUCUAGUUUUUCAUUCUCUCUCCACUCCAUGGAGCCUCCAAACAAGCACAGCUUGCAGCCCCCACCCCUUGCCAGGGGCUCCUGCUGCCAUCUCGCCCCCCAUCCUGCCUCUCAUCCACAAAGGCUUUUUAAAAAUGCUGGUGUCUUCAUGUACUCCAGUGUUCAUUGCAGAACUCUUUCCAAUAGCCAAGACGUGGAAACAAUCUAAAUGUCCAUUGAGAGAGGAGUGGAUCAAGAAGAUGUGGUGCAUAUACAUAGUGGAAUAUUACUCAGCCAUUCAAAGAAACGAAAUACUGGCAUUUUUAGCAACAUGGAUGGACCUAGAAAUUAUCAUGCUAAGUGAAGUCAGCCAUACAGUGAGACACCAACAUCAAAUGCUUUCACUGACGUGUGGAAUCUGAAAAAAAGACAGAAUGAACUUCUUUGCAGAACAGAUGCUGACUCACAGACUUUGAAAAACUUAUGGUUUCCAAAGGCGACAGUUCGUGGGGUUGGGGGAUGCGCUGGGAUUGUGGGAUGGAAAUCCUAUAAAAUUGGAUUGUGGUGAUCAUUGUACAACUAUAAAUGUAAUAAAUUCAUUGAGGAAUAAGAAAAAGAAAAGAAAAAAAAAAAAAAAAAGCUUGUGUCUUGGCUGUAAGCAUUUUCAUCCUGUAGAAAGGCUCUUGGGGAGAUGUUCCGUUCCUCCCAUUCCUUUGGCUGAAGUUGCCUUGGCCACCUAAUCCCCUGUCCAUGCUGGGCACUCUGGUACCCUGGGCUUGAAUAAAUUUUAUUUUCAAAGGUUAAGACUGGAUUUCAGCAGUCAACUCUCCCACUGACGUCUCUGUUAUUUUCUGAACCUAUGAGAAAGAGUGAGAGCUGGUAGGUUUAUGAAGGGACAAGCUCUCCUCUGCAACGCUGGUGCUGGAAGGGGCUGUUGUUACUUUGCAAAACCUCAAGUGGUGUCUUCUCUGUGCUACUGCAACAGGAGAGAGGGGACUGUUUCUGGUGGGUGCUGCUUGUUCAGAAAGUCCAUGAGCAAGGCCGGGGGCUGUGGCUUUGUCCCUCUGCCAGUACCAUUUGAUGCCAGAGGGAGGAAAGGGAUGGAAAAAGAAGAUGGAGAAUGGUAGAGGAUAAAGUGCAAAAAGAGAAAGAGGCAUUCAUUUCUCCCAUGAUCUGCAGCAUCUGAGGAGCAAGCGCUUGUUUUACAUCUUAUUUGGCUUGACAUACUUGCAUCCUCUUGGAUGAGCUACUAAGCAGUACUAGGUGGCAAAAAGAAAACAAGCAUACACACACCAAAACAAAGAAAAUGCUCCUGAACACCCCAGUUGCAUGGAAAUGAUAUUAAGUAACUACAGUGUCUGCCAACAUAUUCCUGCAAGGAAGGGCAGCCAGAGAACAGCUGGUUUGGAGGCUGGGGAGUGAAGGCAGCGUGUCCUGGGCAUCCUCAGACUGCCCUGAGGACUCAGGAGAUACCCUGUACCUCAGCAGGCUGCUGUUCUGGGUAGCAGCCUUCCCUCCCCAGGGGCCUGCAGGUCCUUCUGCAAUUCCUCAGCCUCCUUUCUCUGGAGGUGAUCUCUAGAGGGAGCAGGUGCUCACCCUGCAGGCUCUAUGGCCAGAGCCCCAGCAGGCCUGAGGCCCUGCACUUCCAUCUCCUGCAUUCUGUCUCUUCCUCACCAUCAGCCCUGUUGUGCAGGGAAGGAGUCUGAAGUAAGCAGGCUGAGGGCAGCCAGCGUCAGCAGGGUCCCGGGAGGUUACAACCCACUGGCUCUUUGACCUGAGUGUCCUGAAAGGAACUCGCGGUUGCGUGGAUAUGCGAUCACUCGUGGAACGGUCAGGCCAUGUGGAUAGAAACAGCUUUCAGCUCAAGGUUCUCGAGUGGUCAUCUGAAGUGAAGAUUGCAACUUUAACAUGAAGAUCACUUCUCCUCACCCCACCUCCCACUUCUGUCCCCAAACACGGGUCACUCCAUCUCUCCUGUUUCUGGGGUCCCUCCACUUCCCUCCUCACCUGCUGCCAGUAUCCUGGUUCACUCUCCAUCAUCCCCGCCUUGUCCGGUCAGUGUGGUCCUAACUCGGGGGCCCCAUCACCAUGUGGGUGGCACUUGCCUGUGCUACAAAGCUGACUGUGUCUCUCUCCCACUGUCUUCCUUUAAGGGCUCCUGGCUACCCUGGGGAAAAAAAAUCUCACCUUCCAGAGCUUGGCAUUAGCAGUCUGGCCUCACCUCUUCAUAGCCUCCCUCUUCCCGGUCUCCCUACCCACCCGUGUGACUGUGGACUUCUUGUCCUCCCCACCUGUUAUACACGUCUUUCCCUCUUUGGCUGCCACCACCUCCUUCUCUUUUCCAGGACUCUGGCUCUCUAGGAGCAGUGAUCGCCUGACCCAGCCCGGCCUUGACAUAUGUUCCGUGCUUCUGCAGCACCCUUUGAUUUGACUUGUCCUUAAACUGACCACAGGGCUACUUACUUGUCUAUUUCUUAUUUCUUCUUUUAUAUAUUAGACUCUAAUCUCUUUGAGGAUAGCCACACUUGCCUGAAACAGUUGCUGAUUUUUUUUUUUUUUUGUCUUUUUUACCAUUUCUUGGGCCACUCCUGAAGCAUAUGGUGGUUCCCAGGCUAGGGGUCAAAUCAGAGCUGUAACCUUCGGCCUACAC